CGUCGUAUCGCAUGUGUACACAUGGGCUACUUUUAAUUCAUUUGCUUGGCGAUUUCGUCAAAUCGGUUAACAGCAGCCAGGGGUUAUGUAUCGCCAAUUGUUUUUUCGAGAGCGACUUUUCGGUCCGCUUCCGAGCUCUAAUCGUUAAUCUAAUUACAAACACGUUCUAGCUACAUGCUUGGCGCCCUUCUUCGAGGAUUACGUUUCGUCUUACGUAACCUUCAAUCGUUUAACACUGUCCUGUCCACGACUGAGACGCCAUUACUGGUCAUUAGAUUACUCAUUGAGAAUCCUAUCGAGCUCGUGAGAACCAGAGAUGGGCUUUAUUUCAUUUACUUUAUCGUUAUACAUGUCUUUCUAUUGGUCAGAAGUAGCAGCAAUUAUUCGAGUCACGAAUGUCUCGUUUCUAUUUUACAUUUAUAUACUAUAAUUUACAAUAACAAAGGCAGGUUUUAGGAGAACUUGUAGACAGGACUUAUCUAGUUCUGAUUACCCCUAUAUUUUACGAUCGAUCAAGUGAAAUUUCUCCGAAGGAAAGGUAAUUCUCGAGAAUCGCUCUCAUCACGUAAGCAUCGAAAUUAGUAAGACUACUUAUUAUUUUAUUCUCACGUAUAAUCUCAUACGAUUAAUUGUUGAUUAUUGUCUAUUCUACAGCAUGCAAGAAUAUAAGGAUUGUUAUUCGGCAAACUUUCGCGAGGUUUGUUUUCGAACUUUCCUGACGGCUUUGUUGACACUAUUUCGAGAUCCCUACAAUAAAUCGCAAUACACUUGGCGAUUCCACGCGGUGGUCUAAAAAUAAUAGUCGAUAGAAGCGAUGAAAGUCGAAUUGAUAAUAUAGUUGACAGCGUUAUCGUAGAAUUUUGGAACAGCGAAAAACUAUCUCGAACUAUCGUUACAAUAUAUAUGUGUGUAUGUAUAUCUGUAUAUAUUAAUUCGGUUUAUUGAAUUGAGGCCACACGUUCUUCGAGGAGGCGGCCUUGGCCUGCUCCUUCAAGAUUCUCGCUUGCUCCUGUAUUUCUUGUUUCUGUUUCACGAAGGAAAAGUCUAUGAAAAUGCUGGAAAAUAAAUAAACCGCACGCUACACGGCGAAUUAGACGUUUUCUUUAUAUUUUUAAGCGAAAUCUUUUCUCGAUACUUACGGUAUAGCGGACGCCUGGCAUUUAAUAGUGUCAGCGAUAUUCUGUUCGGAGUAGAGGCCAAUCGGUGAAUUGAACUGCUUGUGGACUACCUACGGAAUCAAAUGAAACGAAACGAUGAGGGGAAAGGUUGCAAAUCGAUUGCAAAUUAAUCACAAUGGAGCUGGGGCUCCAAAGAUUCGCUACGCAUUCUUAAGUUACGCCACUGUGUGUUAAGUUAAUUCUUAACUCCUCUGAAGUAAGUCAUAAAUUUACUGUUAGACGCAUUUAAAGUAUUCGUCGUCCUUCGGAACGUUGCAGUCUCAUCAGAUAAUUUUGUAUAAAUAAACAGAAGUACAUACGCCCUUUAUUAAAAACCGAUCGUCUAAUCGUUGACGGGCGGGUUAAUCAUUAGCAAAAUAUCGAUAGCAUGCUAUAUUAUCGUCGGCACUCGCAACCAUAGACAUUUCGAUGGUAUUUUCAGAUAUUUAGUUAGAAUUUCAACUAUUUUUUAACGUGAAUACAUCGUUGUAUUUUCUGUUCAAAGCGGAAGCGUCGUUUGUGGAAGCGGAAGCGAUUCAUGAAUAAAGUGGU
Hylaeus volcanicus is the source of this 1709-nucleotide long non-coding RNA. RefSeq lists it as uncharacterized. NCBI's taxonomy places the organism in Eukaryota, Metazoa, Arthropoda, Insecta, Hymenoptera, Colletidae. The record is from RefSeq and is a predicted model, not a curated record. The transcript is spliced from 3 exons.